CACGUAGGCGGAUAUUUAAGUCAGGGUGAAAUCCCAGAGCUCAACUCUGGAACUGCCUUUGAUACUGGGUAUCUUGAGUAUGGAAGAGGUAAGUGGAAUUCCGAGUGUAGAGGUGAAAUUCGUAGAUAUUCGGAGGAACACCAGUGGCGAAGGCGGCUUACUGGUCCAUUACUGACGCUGAGGUGCGAAAGCGUGGGGAGCAAACA
RNAcentral lists this ribosomal RNA (206 nucleotides) under uncultured bacterium. RNAcentral describes it as "partial 16S ribosomal RNA". It matches the Rfam family "Bacterial small subunit ribosomal RNA", at positions 568 to 774 of the family's 1533-position model. The record is from RNAcentral.